AAUCAACGCUGGCGGCGUGCCUAACACAUGCAAGUCGAACGCGAAAGCCCCUUCGGGGGCAAGUAGAGUGGCGUCCGGGUGAGUAACACGUAGGUAAUCUACCUUCGGGUGGGGAAUAACCCGCCGAAAGGCGGGCUAAUACCGCAUAAUGCAGCGGCACCUAAUGGUGAUUAGUUGUUAAAGCGGGGGACCGCAAGGCCUCGCGCCUGAAGAGGAGCCUGCGGCAGAUUAGCUAGUUGGUGAGGUAAUGGCUCACCAAGGCUUCGAUCUGUAGCUGGUCUGAGAGGACGGCCAGCCACACUGGCACUGACACACGGGCCAGACUCCUACGGGAGGCAGCAGUGGGGAAUUUUGGGCAAUGGGCGAAAGCCUGACCCAGCAACGCCGCGUGAGGGAGGAAAUCCUUCGGGAUGUAAACCUCACAAGCAAGGGAAGAGAGCGAAGGGCGAAUAACCCCAUCGUCCGACGGUACCUUGCGUAAGCCACGGCUAACUACGUGCCAGCAGCCGAC
RNAcentral lists this ribosomal RNA (511 nucleotides) under uncultured bacterium. RNAcentral describes it as "bacterial SSU rRNA". It matches the Rfam family "Bacterial small subunit ribosomal RNA", at positions 32 to 518 of the family's 1533-position model. The record is from RNAcentral.